This 249-nucleotide ribosomal RNA is filed under the name uncultured bacterium. RNAcentral describes it as "partial 16S ribosomal RNA". It matches the Rfam family "Bacterial small subunit ribosomal RNA", at positions 524 to 772 of the family's 1533-position model. The record is from RNAcentral.
UACGUAGGGUGCGAGCGUUAAUCGGAAUUACUGGGCGUAAAGCGUGCGCAGGCGGUUCGUUGUGUCUGAUGUGAAAUCCCCGGGCUCAACCUGGGAAUGGCAUUGGAAACUGGCGGACUUGAGUGUGGCAGAGGGGGGUGGAAUUCCGCGUGUAGCAGUGAAAUGCGUAGAGAUGCGGAGGAACACCGAUGGCGAAGGCAGCCCCCUGGGCCAACACUGACGCUCAGGCACGAAAGCGUGGGGAGCAAA